Molecule: ribosomal RNA, 303 nt
Filed under: uncultured bacterium
Lineage: Bacteria
Description: bacterial SSU rRNA
Rfam family: Bacterial small subunit ribosomal RNA
Source: RNAcentral
UGGGGAAUAUUGCACAAUGGGGGAAACCCUGAUGCAGCGACGCCGCGUGAGUGAAGAAGUAUUUCGGUACGUAAAGCUCUAUCAGCAGGGAAGAAAAUGACGGUACCUGACUAAGAAGCCCCGGCUAACUACGUGCCAGCAGCCGCGGUAAUACGUAGGGGGCAAGCGUUAUCCGGAUUUACUGGGUGUAAAGGGAGCGUAGACGGCAGCGCAAGUCUGGAGUGAAAUGCCGGGGCCCAACCCCGGAACUGCUUUGGAAACUGUGCAGCUUGAGUGCGGGAGAGGUAAGUGGAAUUCCUAGUG